AGUGAACGUUGGCGGCGUGGAUUAGGCAUGCAAGUCGAGCGAUCGUAGCAAUACGGGAGCGGCAAACGGGGGUAGGAAUACAUCGGAACGUACCUUUUGGUUGAGAAUAGCGUUGGGAAACUGACGGUAAUACUCAAUAAAGUCGAGAGACCAAAGGUUUACUGCCGGAAGAGCGGCCGAUGCGAUAUUAGGUAGUUGGUGGGGUAAUGGCCUACCAAGCCUGAGAUGUCUAGGGGGUGUGAGAGCAUGGCCCCCACCACUGGGACUGAGAUACUGCCCAGACACCUACGGGUGGCUGCAGUCGAGGAUCUUCGUCAAUGGGCGAAAGCCUGAACGAGCGACGCCGCGUGCGGGAUGAAGGCCCUUGGGUUGUAAACCGCUGUCAGGGGGAUGAAACCGUAAGGUUGACAGAGCCCCAGAGGAAGCACGGGCUAAGUUCGUGCCAGCAGCCGCGGUAAU
This 459-nucleotide ribosomal RNA is filed under the name uncultured bacterium. RNAcentral describes it as "bacterial SSU rRNA". It matches the Rfam family "Bacterial small subunit ribosomal RNA", at positions 29 to 524 of the family's 1533-position model. The record is from RNAcentral.